RNAcentral lists this ribosomal RNA (253 nucleotides) under uncultured bacterium. RNAcentral's name for it is "partial 16S ribosomal RNA". It matches the Rfam family "Bacterial small subunit ribosomal RNA", at positions 524 to 776 of the family's 1533-position model. The record is from RNAcentral.
UACGUAGGGACCAAGCGUUGUUCGGAUUUACUGGGCGUAAAGGGCGCGUAGGCGGCUUGUCAAGUCACUUGUGAAAUCUCUGGGCUUAACCCAGAACGGCCAAGUGAAACUGACAUGCUAGAGCGCAGAAGGGGCAAUCGGAAUUCUUGGUGUAGCGGUGAAAUGCGUAGAUAUCAAGAGGAACACCUGAGGUGAAGACGGGUUGCUGGGCUGACACUGACGCUGAGGCGCGAAAGCCAGGGGAGCAAACGGG